RNAcentral lists this long non-coding RNA (228 nucleotides) under Eucalyptus grandis. Its description in RNAcentral is "long non-coding RNA (EGRA_LNC006971)". The record is from RNAcentral. Lineage: Eukaryota; Viridiplantae; Streptophyta; Magnoliopsida; Myrtales; Myrtaceae.
CUGUUAAAUGUACCUUCGCAGUUAAUCACUCUUGUUGGCUAAGCUGUAUUGCAGUUACCCUUAUUCCUCAUAAAGCUACUUUAAUGUCUUUUGCAAAACCCUGUGCUGAGAUCGAUCCCCAAUCAGCGCCUUCUGUACGGUGCUUGGAAUGCAACCAUUUAUCUUGUGGAGGGAAAAUAAUUUUGGUGCUUCAUGACAGCUGUACUCCUCAAUCACAAAAAAGUGGUG